RNAcentral lists this ribosomal RNA (443 nucleotides) under uncultured bacterium. RNAcentral's name for it is "partial 16S ribosomal RNA". It matches the Rfam family "Bacterial small subunit ribosomal RNA", at positions 338 to 795 of the family's 1533-position model. The record is from RNAcentral.
CCUACGGGUGGCUGCAGUGGGGAAUAUUGGGCAAUGGGCGCAAGCCUGACCCAGCAACGCCGCGUGAGGGAAGAAGGCUCUCGGGUUGUAAACUUCUUUUAUCAGGGACGAAGCAAGUGACGGUACCUGAUGAAUAAGCCACGAAUAACGACGUGCCAGCCGCCGCGGUAAUACGUAGGUGGCAAGUGUUAUCAGGAUUUAAUGGGUGUAAAGGGAGAGUAGGCGGGAAAACAAGUCAGAAGUGAAAACCAUGGGCUCAACCGGGGGCCUGCAUUUGAAACUGUUUUUCUGGAGUACUGGAGAGGCAGACGGAAUUCCUAGUGUAGCGGUGAAAUGCGUAGAUAUUAGGAGGAACACCAGUGGCGAAGGCGGUUUGCUGGACAGCAACUGACGCUGAGGCGCGAAAGCGUGGGGAGCAAACAGGAUUAGAUACCCGUGUAGUC